UACGAAGGGGGCUAGCGUUGUUCGGAAUUACUGGGCGUAAAGCGCACGUAGGCGGAUCGAUCAGUCAGGGGUGAAAUCCCAGGGCUCAACCCUGGAACUGCCUUUGAUACUGUCGAUCUGGAGUAUGGAAGAGGUGAGUGGAAUUCCGAGUGUAGAGGUGAAAUUCGUAGAUAUUCGGAGGAACACCAGUGGCGAAGGCGGCUCACUGGUCCAUUACUGACGCUGAGGUGCGAGAGCGUGGGGAGCAAACAGG
This 253-nucleotide ribosomal RNA is filed under the name uncultured bacterium. Its description in RNAcentral is "partial 16S ribosomal RNA". It matches the Rfam family "Bacterial small subunit ribosomal RNA", at positions 524 to 776 of the family's 1533-position model. The record is from RNAcentral.